UGGUGCACCUUCUUCCUGAUCCCCAGCAUCAUCUUUGCCGUCAAGACCUCCAAAUACUUCCGUCCUAUCCGGAAACGCCUCAGCUCCACCAGCUCUGAGGAGACUCAGCUCUUCCACAUCCCCCGGGUUACCUCCCUGAAGCUGUAGGGCCCUGUGGGUGAGUUUUCCCCAACUCGCUUAAUUGCUCCCUGCCAGGGAUUAAGGGAGUGGGGUGGGGAGGGGCUGGGGUCUGGGGUUUCCAGGGCCUAGGAGGGCAGGAAGGCUUGGGGACAUGGUGGAGUCUGGGUAUUGGGUGUGGCCCAUCCAGCAGUGGGGCUGACAGCCCUGUUCUCCCCUCCCUCCCCUUCACCCAUUUCCUUCUUAAUCCCUGACAGGGUGAGGUGACCCUGAGGCUGCCUGUCCUCCCCUUUGAUUUAGCCUGGGCCACAGGACUUCGGUAGCUCUUGCCCCAGAGCCCAGGCUGGCAUCCAGGCCUGGACUGUCCCCAGUUCCGGCUUACCUGGCCCCACCUUGCCUGCUCCUUUCC
This 526-nucleotide small RNA is filed under the name Pan troglodytes (chimpanzee). Its description in RNAcentral is "processed transcript". The record is from RNAcentral. Lineage: Eukaryota; Metazoa; Chordata; Mammalia; Primates; Hominidae.